UACGUAGGUGGCAAGCGUUGUCCGGAAUUAUUGGGCGUAAAGCGCGCGCAGGCGGUCUCUUAAGUCUGAUGUGAAAGCCCCCGGCUCAACCGGGGAGGGUCAUUGGAAACUGGGAGACUUGAGUGCAGAAGAGAAGAGUGGAAUUCCACGUGUAGCGGUGAAAUGCGUAGAGAUGUGGAGGAACACCAGUGGCGAAGGCGGCAUCCUGGACCGGUAUUGACACUGAGGCGCGAAAGCCAGGGGAGCAAACGGG
This 253-nucleotide ribosomal RNA is filed under the name uncultured bacterium. Its description in RNAcentral is "partial 16S ribosomal RNA". It matches the Rfam family "Bacterial small subunit ribosomal RNA", at positions 524 to 776 of the family's 1533-position model. The record is from RNAcentral.